AGCAGCCGCGGUAAUUCCAGCUCCAAUAGCGUAUAUUAAAGUUGUUGCAGUUAAAAAGCUCGUAGUUGAAUUUCGGGAUCAAGUCGUCGGUCGUGCUCAGGUACGUACUGGCGUCAUUGAUUUCUCCCUUCUGACGAACCAUGAUGUCAUUAAUUUGGUGUCAUGGGAAAUCAGGACUGUUACUUUGAAAAAAUUAGAGUGUUUAAAGCAGGCUCACGCUUGAAUACAUUAGCACGGAAUAAUGAAAUAGGACGUUCGAUCCUAUUUUGUUGGUUUUUAGGAUCAACGUAAUGAUUAAUAGGGAUAGUUGGGGGCAUUAGUAUUCAAUUGUCAGAGGUGAAAUUCUUGGAUUUAUUGAAGACUAACUACUGCGAAAGCAUUUGCCAAGGAUGUUUUCAUUAAUCAAGAACGAAAGUUAGGGGAUCGAAGACGAUCAGAUACCGUCGUAGUCUUAACCAUAAACUAUGCCGACUAGGGAUCGGAUGAUGUUAAUUUUUUAAUGACUCAUUCGGCGCCUUAC
RNAcentral lists this unclassified non-coding RNA (520 nucleotides) under uncultured Glomus. RNAcentral's name for it is "SSU rRNA". It matches the Rfam family "Eukaryotic small subunit ribosomal RNA", at positions 569 to 1091 of the family's 1831-position model. The record is from RNAcentral. Lineage: Eukaryota; Fungi; Glomeromycota; Glomeromycetes; Glomerales; Glomeraceae. RNAcentral also lists the same sequence under 1 other name.